Molecule: long non-coding RNA, 2500 nt
Organism: Patella vulgata (common limpet)
Lineage: Eukaryota; Metazoa; Mollusca; Gastropoda; Patellidae
Exons: 2
Source: RefSeq, a predicted model, not a curated record
CUUACUUUAUUUUAUAAAAGAUCAGACUUAAACAGGGGAUAAAACCCAUCCAAAGACUGGGCUUUAAUAGUUAGAGAGACAGAGAGAAACUCGGACUCGGGACAGAGAGAUGCCAGAUGGCAGAUGGGGAUUAAGUCUAACUAAGAUUAGCUAAACUAACUUAGUCUCUAAGUCUAAUUCAAUAUCAUCCACCAAAGUCUUACUCGUUGAAAACACGAAUUAUUUGUCAAUUCAAAUCAACAUUGAUGUUGUGAUCUUACCGGGAAAAGGAGUCAAGGCUGGAAGGCAACUGAAGAAAAUCAGUAUUAACUAAAGAUCACUAAACUUACCUAACAACACAACAAAUACCAGAAGGGAAAUCUUCAGCAAAAAACAGAUACAUUUGAAUACAGUGUAACAUCUAAUUCUCUACACCCGUUAAUAAAUUAUUACUAUGAUACACUCUGAGAAGAAGUCGAGCUACUUCAACUGGACAAAUUAACUGAUUACUAGAAAUCUGAAGGAGCUGCUAAUGCCUCAACAUUGUCUCACAGUUUACAAACAGAACAGGUUUGUUUAAUGCCUAAAGUGAUAAUAUGCAAAAAUAUAAAACAUGUUCGGAAAAUUGUUCUUGCGGAUGAUUUCACAGAAAGCACUUUGUUUGACUAUUAUGAAAAUGAUGAUGACGGAGAUAAUGAUAAAGAUAUAGAAUGUGUACAUGUGUUGACUAAUAGUUCAUUUACCGAGUGUAUUGAUAAAUAGUCUGUUUAUCAAUAUAUGGAGUGUAUUGUUUAUCAACAUAUUGAGUGUACUGUUUAUCAACAUAUUGAGUGUAGGCUAUUGAUAAAGAAUUGGGUGAAAAAACAUAUUUAGUGUACUGAAAAAUAAUUUUUUAUCAACUUAUCGAUUGUAUUGAUAACUUUUGUUGAUCACCAUAUUGACUGCAUUAGAUAAAGUGUUAUAAACUUGUUGAGUGCAUUGAUACAUAUAGAGAAUCUCUUAUCAGUCUUUUUUAAUAUCAAAAAAUAUCAAAACAAGUUGAUAAAGUAACAAAAAACAAGGCUCUGCCGAGUUUUUUUUUACUUUAUCAACGAGUGUUGAUAUUUUUUGAUAUAAAAAAAGACUAGUAGGUGAUUUUAUUUAUCACCCAAUCCCUUCUUUUAAAAUUAUGUGUCUUAAAGAUACAUUAUGGGAGAUUUUAAUAGAGAGUUGGCCAUUCUUGCUGUAAAAGUCCAAAAAUAGAUGAUGAAAGAGGACUAUAUUGAAAAUUUCAGUCAAAUUACUUUAUUCUGAACAAAGUUAUCACCAUUGUAAUUUUUGACUAGAAAUAGGCGUCAACUCUCUCUUCGCCAUCUCAGAGAAUGGCCGAUCGUUUGAUUGACAGGCGUUAACUCCACCGACACAAGUUAAUAAGGUAACAAAAAACAAGGCUCUGCCGAGUUUUUUUUACUUUAUCAACGAGUGUUGAUAUUUUUUGAUAUAAAAAAAGACGAGUAGGUGAUUUAAUGUAUCACCCAAUCCCUUCUUACAUCCACAAAUAGAUAAAUAUAAUUCUUUGCUGUAGAUUUCACUUUUACUGAACAUUACGGCGUAGUGAUACAUCAUUUUUGACAGCAAUUCAACCAUUGCAAAGUCUUUUAUAUUGACCCAGUGUUUCCAUCAAGGUCAAUUGAAUAACAAUAGUUCAUUUUUAAUAAAAAAAAAAGUUACGUUUAAUAAGAAAUGAACUGUUCUUUGAAAAUAAAAAAAGUAGUUCCUUUUCUACUGACCAAUCAAAUUCAUGUAAAGCGAUAUCUCCUUAGGAGAUAUCGCAGUAGAUUAUGAAAUAUAUCACACAAGCGAUAUCUACUGUAGAAUGUAUUUGGAUGAUAAAAUUUAUUAAGUGUUAAGAAAUGUUUGUUUAUCAGCUUAUAGACUGUAUUGAUAUAGUAUUACAAACUUUUAUCAAUAUUACUGUAAAUAAUUUUAUGUUUAUUUUCUUAACUAUAGUGUGAAUAAUAUGUUCAUUUUAUCAACUAUAGUGUAUCAAGUGUAUUGUUAAAUUUUGUUGAUCACAAUAUUGACUGUAUUGAUAAAGUGUUAUAAACAUAUUGAGUGCAUUGAUACAUAGUUUAUUCAGUGUUAUGAAGUGUUUAUCAGCUUAUUGACUGUAUGUAUAAUUUUUUCAUUUAAUCAACUAUAGUGUACAUGGCGUAUUGCUCAUUAGUUAAAAUAACUUAUUGUUCAUAUGAACUAUAGUGUGAAUAAUUUAUUUCUCAUUUUAUUGAUUAUACUGUGAAUAAUGAUUUGCUCAUUUUAUCAACUAUAGUGAAAAUAAUUUAUUUUGCUCAUUUUAACAACUGUAGUGAAAUUAAUAUAUUGUUUAUUUUAUCAACUAUAGUGUGAUUGAUUUAUUGGCGAUUUUAUUUUGUUAACUAUAUUGUAGAUAGUUUAUUGUCAUUUUAUCAAUUAUGGUGUGAAUAAUUUGUUCAUUUUAUCAGCUAUAAUUUAUUGAUUGAUUAAUAAAAGGAUGUCGAUAUUA